GGAACUUGCCGAAAACUUAGGUGUGACUGAAGACAAAGUGCGGGUUUGGUUUAAGAAUAAAAGGGCUAGAUGUAGGCGACAUCAGAGGGAAUUAAUGCUCGCCAGUGAACUACGUGCUGACCCAGACGACUGUGUCUACAUCGUCGUGGACUAGCCCUAGAAUGCCAUCCUUCUUCAGGAGCUAGUUUGGAGAUGGGUUUUUCUGGUGCCACUGACACCUGGGCUGCCCAUGCCACUCAGGCUACCCUUAUCUCCUCUGAACUUAUGUUAUCA
This 273-nucleotide long non-coding RNA is filed under the name Pan troglodytes (chimpanzee). RNAcentral's name for it is "long non-coding RNA NONPTRT018520". Lineage: Eukaryota; Metazoa; Chordata; Mammalia; Primates; Hominidae. The record is from RNAcentral.